Long non-coding RNA from Cyprinus carpio (common carp), 388 nucleotides. The record is from Ensembl. NCBI's taxonomy places the organism in Eukaryota, Metazoa, Chordata, Actinopteri, Cypriniformes, Cyprinidae.
GCAUUUUGAGGAAACGCGCGUACAGAAUCGCCUCUUUUUAGGCGGCUUUUUUCAUAUCUGGAAAAGAGAGAGAGUGAGAGAGAGUCAGUGCGCGAACGCUCACCCCCCACGCAAACAUACACACACGCACGCGCGCGAAGCCGAGAAGCGAGAGACACGGACGCUGUUCCGCUGCUGGGUUUGGAGUACAAACUCGUCCGAACGCACGAAUCGUGGAUUAUUACGCGAAGAACCCGCGGAAACCAUGAGCUGGGGAACCGAGCUAUGGCAGUAAACAUGAAUCAUGUGCAGUCCUUUUGGCACCGGCUGAUGACAUCAUCUCUGAUGUACAGUAGCACUUUCUAAUGACAUCAUCCGUUUGGAAUGCUGCUCUGUUGUUUAGCAUAAG